Molecule: ribosomal RNA, 254 nt
Filed under: uncultured bacterium
Lineage: Bacteria
Description: partial 16S ribosomal RNA
Rfam family: Bacterial small subunit ribosomal RNA
Source: RNAcentral
UACGUAGGGUGCAAGCGUUGUCCGGAUUUAUUGGGCGUAAAGAGCUCGUAGGCGGUUUGGUAAGUUGGAUGUGAAAUCUCCAGGCUCAACUUGGAGGGGUCAUUCGAUACUGCCAUGACUAGAGUUCGGCAGGGGAGACUGGAAUUCCUGGUGUAGCGGUGAAAUGCGCAGAUAUCAGGAGGAACACCGGUGGCGAAGGCGGGUCUCUGGGCCGAUACUGACGCUGAGGAGCGAAAGCGUGGGGAGCGAACAGG